UACCAGCGCCCCGAGUGGUCGGGACGAUUAUUGGGCCUAAAGCAUCCGUAGCCGGUUCUACAAGUCUUCCGUUAAAUCCACCUGCUUAACAGAUGGGCUGCGGAGGAUACUAUAGAGCUAGGAGGCGGGAGAGGCAAGCGGUACUUAGUGGGUAGGGGUAAAAUCCGUUGAUCCAUUGAAGACCACCAGUGGCGAAGGCGGCUUGCCAGAACGCACUCGACGGUGAGGGAUGAAAGCUGGGGGAGCAAACCGG
RNAcentral lists this ribosomal RNA (253 nucleotides) under uncultured bacterium. Its description in RNAcentral is "partial 16S ribosomal RNA". It matches the Rfam family "Archaeal small subunit ribosomal RNA", at positions 474 to 727 of the family's 1478-position model. The record is from RNAcentral.